GCCAGACUCCUACGGGAGGCAGCAGUGGGGGAUAUUGCACAAUGGGGGGAACCCUGAUGCAGCGACGCCGCGUGGGUGAAGAAGCGCCUCGGCGCGUAAAGCCCUGUCAGCAGGGAAGAAAAUGACGGUACCUGAAGAAGAAGCCCCGGCUAACUACGUGCCAGCAGCCGCGGUAAUACGUAGGGGGCAAGCGUUAUCCGGAUUCACUGGGUGUAAAGGGAGCGUAGACGGCGACGCAAGUCUGGAGUGAAAGCCCGGGGCCCAACCCCGGGACUGCUCUGGAAACUGCGGCGCUGGAGUACGGGAGGGGCAGGCGGAAUUCCUGGUGUAGCGGUGAAAUGCGUAGAUAUUAGGAGGAACACCGGCGGCGAAGGCGGCCUGGUGGACCGUAACUGACGUUGAGGCUCGAAAGCGUGGGGAGCAAACAGGAUUAGAUACCCCAGUAGAA
This 448-nucleotide ribosomal RNA is filed under the name uncultured bacterium. RNAcentral describes it as "partial 16S ribosomal RNA". It matches the Rfam family "Bacterial small subunit ribosomal RNA", at positions 330 to 795 of the family's 1533-position model. The record is from RNAcentral.